UAUUUAUGCUAACUGUGCAGUGAAGUGAAGUAGAGUAAUUUUAUGAUAGUUUUUACUGACAGUAAUAUAUAUUCCACUAUCAUAAUCUGCUGAUGAGUAAAAGCAGGGCUAUUGCUUAUAACACAGUUGCGUGAAGCAGAGAACGACAAGGACAGUGAAGCAAGAAAUGAUUGUGGAAGAAAAAAAUAAUAUGCAUAAGAGAAACUUAAAUGAUUACAAGGAGAGGGUCUUGAGCUCCUUGAGGUAAAGAGGUCUGAUAAGCUCGAAGUCCAGCCUCGCGAGCUCCAGCACCACGCCGUCGUGCGCCUCCUCCCGCUCGUACUCGGUGAUGUAGCGCAUCGUCUCCAGCAGCUUGGGCGCCCGUGCGAGAGGGAUGUCGAGGGCGCGGGAGACCUGCUCGGCCAUCGGCGAUCCCAGCUUACCUUGCAAGGACUUGACGCUCCGUCUCGAGAACGCGAUGGCGUCGUCGAGCGCCGCUUCUUCGCCGGGGCAUGGCGAGGUGCGCUGCGUUGUAGAGGCUUAGCAGGCCCCUUGCGUCCGUGCUCAGAGAGAUUGAAUUAUACUCCGAGUUACCUGCAGAUACCAAGAAACCAUGCUGGCGAAGUAGACGAAACCUAAGGGAUUCAAGGUGGAGCAAGUCAGCAGCAGCAACGCUGUCGGCGUGCUCCUUAUGGUGCAAUAAUAAUACAUGCUGUAACGCUACGGUGAUCUCGUCGCGGAAGUGGUCGUCUAUGUGGAGGCGUUCGAGCACGUCCACUAGCAUCACCGUGUAGGCCAUACUCGUGGCCUUCGACAGCUUGCAGCGCACCUGCCUCUUUAGCUGAUCCACAUGUUCCCUCAUCCACUUCUCUGACAUCUGAAAACAUAUGCACGAGCAAUUAAAUCCAAGAGAGCCAUAGUUAAAGGGGAAUUACAUCCAUGCGUAAAGUCUCAUAUUCAAAUUCAUAUUAUACAGAGACAAAAAAACAAAAUUAUAUACUCUCAAAACUAUCAUAAUUUUUAUCAUGUUUGUUAUGGCUAAAAUAUAAUGAAUUUGAGGUUAAGACUUUA
Non-coding RNA from Oryza sativa Japonica Group (Japanese rice), 1050 nucleotides. The record is from RefSeq and is a predicted model, not a curated record. Lineage: Eukaryota; Viridiplantae; Streptophyta; Magnoliopsida; Poales; Poaceae.